Molecule: ribosomal RNA, 809 nt
Filed under: Harringtonia lauricola
Lineage: Eukaryota; Fungi; Ascomycota; Sordariomycetes; Ophiostomatales; Ophiostomataceae
Description: Raffaelea lauricola partial large subunit ribosomal RNA
Rfam family: Eukaryotic large subunit ribosomal RNA
Source: RNAcentral
AGUAACGGCGAGUGAAGCGGCAACAGCUCAAAUUUGAAAUCUGGCCCCCCGCGGGCCCGAGUUGUACUUUGGAGAGGACGCUUCUGGCGCGGCGCCGUCCGAGUUCCCUGGAACGGGACGCCGGAGAGGGUGAGAGCCCCGUACGGGCGGCCGCCUAGCCUCUGCGAAGCUCCUUCGACGAGUCGAGUAGUUUGGGAAUGCUGCUCAAAAUGGGAGGUAAAUUUCUUCUAAAGCUAAAUACCGGCCAGAGACCGAUAGCGCACAAGUAGAGUGAUCGAAAGAUGAAAAGCACUUUGAAAAGAGGGUCAAACAGUACGUGAAAUUGUUGAAAGGGAAGCGCCUGUGGCCAGACUUGCGCCCCGCGGACCACCCGGCGCCUCGCGCGCCGGGGCACGCCAGCGGGGCGCAGGCCAGCAUCGGCUCUCUCGGGGGGACAAAGGCCGCGGGAACGUAGCGCCCUCGCGGCGUAUUAUAGCCCGCGGCGCCAUGCCCCCGGGGGGGCCGAGGACCGCGCUCCGGCAAGGAUGCUGGCGUAAUGGCCACCGGCGACCCGUCUUGAAACACGGACCAAGGAGUCAAGCAUUGGGGCGAGUGUCUGGGUGGCAAGCCCGCACGCGGAAUGAAAGUGAACGCAGGUGGGAGCUUCGGCGCACCACCGACCGAUCCUGAUGUCCUCGGAUGGAUUUGAGUAGGAGCCCCGCCGCUUGGACCCGAAAGAUGGUGAACUAUGCCUGUAUAGGGUGAAGCCAGAGGAAACUCUGGUGGAGGCCCGCAGCGGUUCUGACGUGCAAAUCGAUCGUCAAAUAUGG